GCACGGCGUCAGCGUCUAGACGCAGGCUUGCAGCGGGCGGUGUCGUUCACGCUCCUGAGCAGAGCCUUCCGGUGCUUUACUCGACGCCACAAAUAGUGCAGGGUUCCUCCCAGGGGCUGUCGCGAGCUAGAACUCUUCCCCGCCCCUGUGAGCUCGGGCUGUUCUUCCUCCUCCGCGUGGCUCACUCCAGCCUCGGAUGUUUCCUCGCUGCACAGACCUGCUCGGGAAGACUCGAGAAGGCCACCCCAGGACUCCAGCUCUCCCCGGAAGGGCUUCCCCUCGGAUUGCGUCUUGGCCCCUGGAACCCUCCCUCUGUAUCCUCUGCUGUUCCUCUCUUGGCCUCCAUUUGGGUUGUGGCCUGGAUACUCUGGCUCGCUGCUUCCCUUCUCUUAAGGAUCACAGCCCUGCACUGCCUGUCGUCCGGUGCCUGGAAACCAUUGUAUUUUUUGGUCUGAUUUUGUAGUUGUUUGAGAACUUAAGUCUGGUCCCUCACACUCCAUGCCCAGAAGCAGAAAUGAGUAAAGUUUGUUUUAUCUUUUCUUAAUAUGACAAUUAUUGUGUUGGUUCAACUUAUGUUGUACUUUAAUUAGAAGAAAUUUGGCCGAAAAUACAAGGAAAAUAUACAAAUGCAAGUAAUUUUUUUUAAACUUCCCUGAAAGCAGGGUCUAAAGAAAUUACCAACCAACUUAGACUGGAUCUAGAAGAAAAGGAAGGGUCUUUGCAGUCUUAGGACUCUUCCGUUCCGCGACGUAGGUGUUAGGAUAACAGCCAUAAAUGGUUGUAAGACUUUGGGCUCAGAUAAGUAGACUUAAGUUCAAAUUUUGACUUAUUUUACAAGUGUGUGAUUUUUGGCAAGCUCAUCUUCCUAAACCAUGAGCUCCUUAUUUGUAAAGGGGACAUUAGCCACUCUCCAGCAACAGCCCUGGUACUUCUUCAGUCCUGGGAUGGGACGUAUGAUUAGCCUAAGCGAACCAGAAAAUCCAGGCCCGUGACCAGUGACUUGAUCAGGGCUGGCGAUAUAUCUAGGUAGGCCAACCAGGUGGACUCAGUAUUUUUGUGGGUGCUACUGGAAAAUUUAUUUAAUUCUAACUGAAUGUAGAAACAGCAACAGACAUGAAAUGGCAGUUGUAUUGCUGUCUUAUCAUGAGGUGAGGGCCUGAAGCUAUGGUAGCCACCCUGUGAACCUUGGAAGGAGGGUUCUACAGGAACUGGCAGAGCUGAGACUGGGACGCAACCCAUGUCCUGGUGACGUAUUUGAGUCCUGAGGCUGGCCCUCCUGUUAGUCUUUUCUCUUACUGGCUUCAGCCAGAUGGGGUCUGGUUUUCUGUUACUUGCAACAGGAAAAAUUGGAAUGAUAUCUAUGCAUGCUAUUACCGCCUUAUGGCUGUGGUGAGAUUAAAACAUGAUACUGUGGGUGAACUGCUUAGUACAGUGCCUGCUAUUCUUUAUGUUGGUUUUAAGGUAUUUUUCUUGAACUUUAAAGUUCUAAGAAAAAUUACCGUUUUAAAAUUCCUACCCUCUGUUCACAUGUUUAAAUUUUCAUGAUAGUUUUUCUGUCUGCAUGUUUUCU
Homo sapiens (human) is the source of this 1570-nucleotide long non-coding RNA. Ensembl annotates it as RNF32 divergent transcript. Its record names the gene RNF32-DT. NCBI's taxonomy places the organism in Eukaryota, Metazoa, Chordata, Mammalia, Primates, Hominidae. The record is from Ensembl.